This 497-nucleotide ribosomal RNA is filed under the name uncultured bacterium. RNAcentral's name for it is "partial 16S ribosomal RNA". The stretch from base 21 to 337 matches the Rfam family "Bacterial small subunit ribosomal RNA", at positions 48 to 357 of the family's 1533-position model. The record is from RNAcentral.
GAUGAACGCUGGCGGCGUGCCUAAUACAUGCCAGUCGAGCGAACAGACGAGGAGCUUGCUCCUUUGACGUUAGCGGCGGACGGGUGAGUAACACGUAGGUAACCUACCUAUAAGACUGGGAUAACUUCGGGAAACCGGAGCUAAUACCGGAUAAUAUUUCGAACCGCAUGGUUCGAUAGUGAAAGAUGGCUUUGCUAUCACUUAUAGAUGGACCUGCGCCGUAUUAGCUAGUUGGUAAGGUAACGGCUUACCAAGGCAACGAUACGUAGCCGACCUGAGAGGGGGGAGGGGAAGACGGGAAGUGGAGGAGGGGAGAGAGGCGGGCGGAGGGCAGAGGAGGGAGAGGGUACGAAGGGUGCGAAAGGUGAAUGGAGCAACGGGGGGGAGGAGAAGAGGGGAAGCGGAUCGGCAAGCUCUGUCAUGACAUAGACACAAAGGGGGAAGUAACUGGGCACCGGGAGAGGGUACCUGAGAUGAAAGGCAGCGAUAACUAGGCG